AUUGAACGCUGGCGGCAUGCCUUACACAUGCAAGUCGAACGGUAACAGGUCUUCGGAUGCUGACGAGUGGCGAACGGGUGAGUAAUACAUCGGAACGUGCCUAGUAGUGGGGGAUAACUACUCGAAAGAGUGGCUAAUACCGCAUGAGAUCUACGGAUGAAAGCAGGGGAUCGCAAGACCUUGUGCUACUAGAGCGGCCGAUGGCAGAUUAGGUAGUUGGUGGGAUAAAAGCUUACCAAGCCGACGAUCUGUAGCUGGUCUGAGAGGACGAUCAGCCACACUGGGACGGAGGCACGGUCCAGACGCCUACGGUGGGAAGCAGUGGGGAAUUUUGGACAAUGGGCGAAAGCCUGAGCCAGUAAUGCCGCGUGCAGGAUGAAGGCCUUCGGGUUGUAAACUGCUUUUGUACGGAACGAAAAGCCCCGGGUUAAUACCCUGGGGUCAUGACGGUACCGUAAGAAUAAGCACCGGCUAACUACGUGCCAGCCGCCGCGGUAA
Molecule: ribosomal RNA, 498 nt
Filed under: uncultured bacterium
Lineage: Bacteria
Description: partial 16S ribosomal RNA
Rfam family: Bacterial small subunit ribosomal RNA
Source: RNAcentral